Molecule: transfer RNA, 74 nt
Filed under: Solirubrobacterales bacterium
Lineage: Bacteria; Bacillati; Actinomycetota; Thermoleophilia; Solirubrobacterales
Description: tRNA-Phe
Rfam family: tRNA
About the family: Transfer RNA (tRNA) molecules are approximately 80 nucleotides in length. Their secondary structure includes four short double-helical elements and three loops (D, anti-codon, and T loops).
Source: RNAcentral
GGCGAGAUAGCUCAGUUAGGUAGAGCACACGACUGAAAAUCGUGGUGUCCCCGGUUCGAGUCCGGGUCUCGCCA